UAUCUUUGCUUUUCAACUAAGAUGAAACAGCAUUUAAAAGAAAAUGCCAUGUGAGAUGAGAUCAGGAGAAUGGAUUCUUUCUUUCAUCUGAAUAGAGAGCUGCUGUUCGAGAUUCUAACUCAAAUAGCUCAAAGGACACCUUCUCCGGGAAACCUUCCCUGACUUCCGACGCUGUUUCCUGUUGGCUACAGUUUUGCUUGACCAGAUGUUGCCAAGUUUCAAAGUCAAAUCGGUUCAUCUCCUGGCUAUCAGCUAAAGGGUGUUGUAUUUGUAAGCAUUGAGAACUUCUAUCUACUGCUAUUGUAUUUUGCAUAUUUGUAUUUUCUGAGUUCUAUUUGAGAGAGACGGAAUUACGCAUUUCCAUAUGGAUCAUCCUCUUCCCUAUGUAUGUUGCUUUAUUGCCUUUUGGAAGAAAAAAAGUGAGAGUUGCAGUCUGUAUUUAGGCCAUUUCUAUGUUCUUUAUUGGGUUACGUUUGAAUGCCCAAUUUGAUCUCAAUGGCACGUCCUUUGUAACAUAAAAUAAAACAUGGUGCUCAGGAAAAGUAACGACACACACAUCCAGGCCCUUUCAUAGCAGUUGGUAAAGCUUAAGCCUUGCCUCUCUGUGUGGUAGUUUCCCUUCCCUUUCUUUUCGUUCCCUGUGACAAGCAGCCAUUGUCCCCUUGGUGAGAUCUGCAAUAUUACUUUGACCCCAGCCCAUCAAUCUGCCUCAAUUGGAUAAUGAUCUGUAAUCACGUUCUUUCAGGGGAGUCUAUAAAUUUGCCAAGGCCCCAUUCUCUUCUGAAGGACUCCUUAUGUUCACUCCCAUUUGUGCAAAUGUGCUCUCUUUUACAGGGCUAAAUAGCCAUGCACAUGGUCCAUUCUGUGAGGAGGCACCGGGCGGUUCUCUGUUGAUUUUCCACGCUCUAGUCUCUUAAAGGAGACUAAGGCUGACAUGCAGGGACACAGUGGGGGGGUGGCCCGAGCCAGGCCACAUCACAGGCAGCCGCUUUUCUCAUUAAGACUGACCCAUCAUUAGGUCACUUUGUGCCAUCCUUGUAAUCAAUGAGCUUAAUGUUUAGUGCAAAAAAAAAAAAA
Molecule: long non-coding RNA, 1077 nt
Filed under: Homo sapiens (human)
Lineage: Eukaryota; Metazoa; Chordata; Mammalia; Primates; Hominidae
Description: hepatocellular carcinoma up-regulated long non- coding RNA
Source: RNAcentral